UAAUUGAAACCAAAAUAGAGGUAUGUUAUUGUUAAUAACAAAAUUGAAUUAUUUCCAAUUAGAA
Molecule: transfer RNA, 64 nt
Filed under: Coleoptera sp. ACP-2013
Lineage: Eukaryota; Metazoa; Arthropoda; Insecta; Coleoptera
Description: tRNA-Asn
Source: RNAcentral